UACAGAGGGGGCAAGCGUUAUUCGGAAUUAUUGGGCGUAAAGGGCGCGUAGGCGGCUUGGCAAGUGGAUGGUGAAAUCCCUCGGCUUAACCGAGGAACUGCCGUCCAAACUGCUUCGCUUGAGACCGGGAGAGGUGAGUGGAAUUCCCAGUGUAGCGGUGAAAUGCGUAGAUAUUGGGAGGAACACCAGUGGCGAAGGCGACUUCCUGGCCUGUUCUUGACGCUGAGGCGCGAAAGCUAGGGUAGCAAACGGG
This 253-nucleotide ribosomal RNA is filed under the name uncultured bacterium. RNAcentral describes it as "partial 16S ribosomal RNA". It matches the Rfam family "Bacterial small subunit ribosomal RNA", at positions 524 to 776 of the family's 1533-position model. The record is from RNAcentral.